RNAcentral lists this unclassified non-coding RNA (687 nucleotides) under Hevea brasiliensis (rubber tree). Lineage: Eukaryota; Viridiplantae; Streptophyta; Magnoliopsida; Malpighiales; Euphorbiaceae. The record is from RNAcentral.
CUCAUAUAUUUAUAUUUUAAACGCACAAUAAAUUAAAUAUAAGCAAGAUAUUGUAUUUACAUUCGGCACAUUAUGCAGCAACCUGUAAAAAAAUAAGUAAAUCUCUUCCUAUAUUUUUAUACAUUACAUAAUAUGAAUAUUCUGGUCUAAUUCAGUCAUCUUGAUCUUUCUCUUCUCUACUUCUUCUUCUUCUCCUUCUAUUCUUUCUUCCAUUUUUCCCCACUUUCUUCCGUUUUGUUGUGACCAUGUCAGAACAGAUAUAUUCACGAAGAUUACAAAAUUCUAAACGAGAUGGUAAAGAUAAAUGUUCGAGUUCCAGAAGCUGGAGGUCACGUAGAUCAUUUAAUGGUGAUGGUGGUGGGGUUGGGGGCGGGAACGGGGAAGGUGACUCAGGGUUGCGUGGAUGAAUUUCUAUGCGCUCAUGGACUACAACUCUUGUUCUUGGAUUCCUUGGAAAUCUGGAACACAAUGCACCAAAGGCAAAUAUUAUUGGCCAAACUGAGAAUUUGUUAGGGUUGUUAGAGUCAUGAGACAGAAAGGCAUAAGUUAUGGUUGCAAAAACCCAUUGAAAGAUGCCACAGACUAAGCCAACAAUGUCUGGAAAUGUCCCCAGAGGCUUGUAAUUUAGAUUGCGGGAGUAAAACCAAGGUAAAUAACCUCUGAUCAUCCAUUUAACUCUUUCUCUUC